RNAcentral lists this ribosomal RNA (272 nucleotides) under uncultured Latescibacterota bacterium. RNAcentral describes it as "uncultured Latescibacteria bacterium partial 16S ribosomal RNA". It matches the Rfam family "Bacterial small subunit ribosomal RNA", at positions 1114 to 1382 of the family's 1533-position model. Lineage: Bacteria; Pseudomonadati; Candidatus Latescibacterota. The record is from RNAcentral.
GUUGCCAUCAGGUAAAGCUGGGAACUCUGGGGAGGACUGCCGGUGGAUAAACCGGAGGAAGGCGGGGAUGACGUCAAGUCCUCAUGGCCCUUACCAUCCCGGGCUACACACGUGCUACAAUGGCAGGUACAGAGGGCUGCGAAGCCGCGAGGUGGAGCGAAUCCCAGAAAACCUGUCUCAGUCCGGAUUGAAGUCUGCAACUCGACUUCAUGAAGGCGGAAUCGCUAGUAACCGCGAAUCAGCAGGUCGCGGUGAAUACGUUCCCGGGCCUU